GGCUCGCAGGCGGUUUCUUAAGUCUGAUGUGAAAGCCCCCGGCUCAACCGGGGAGGGUCAUUGGAAACUGGGAAACUUGAGUGCAGAAGAGGAGAGUGGAAUUCCACGUGUAGCGGUGAAAUGCGUAGAGAUGUGGAGGAACACCAGUGGCGAAGGCGACUCUCUGGUCUGUAACUGACGCUGAGGAGCGAAAGCGUGGGGAGCGAACAGGAUUAGAUACCCUGGUAGUCCACGCCGUAAACGAUGAGUGCUAAGUGUUAGGGGGUUUCCGCCCCUUAGUGCUGCAGCUAACGCAUUAAGCACUCCGCCUGGGGAGUACGGUCGCAAGACUGAAACUCAAAGGAAUUGACGGGGGCCCGCACAAGCGGUGGAGCAUGUGGUUUAAUUCGAAGCAACGCGAAGAACCUUACCAGGUCUUGACAUCCUCUGACAACCCUAGAGAUAGGGCUUUCCCUUCGGGGACAGAGUGACAGGUGGUGCAUGGUUGUCG
RNAcentral lists this ribosomal RNA (490 nucleotides) under Bacillus sp. (in: firmicutes). RNAcentral's name for it is "bacterial SSU rRNA". It matches the Rfam family "Bacterial small subunit ribosomal RNA", at positions 566 to 1054 of the family's 1533-position model. Lineage: Bacteria; Bacillati; Bacillota; Bacilli; Caryophanales; Bacillaceae. The record is from RNAcentral.